RNAcentral lists this ribosomal RNA (253 nucleotides) under uncultured bacterium. Its description in RNAcentral is "partial 16S ribosomal RNA". It matches the Rfam family "Bacterial small subunit ribosomal RNA", at positions 524 to 776 of the family's 1533-position model. The record is from RNAcentral.
UACGGGGGGUGCGAGCGUUGUCCGGAAUCACUGGGCGUAAAGGGCGCGUAGGUGGCGUCGUAAGUCUGUGGUGAAAGCCCGGAGCUCAACUCCGGGUCUGCCGCGGAUACUGCGAGGCUUGAGUGCUGUAGAGGGGGGUAGAAUGCCGGGUGUAGCGGUGGAAUGCGUAGAGAUCCGGCAGAACACCAGUGGCGAAGGCGGCCUUCUGGACCAGUACUGACGCUCAUGCACGAAAGCGUGGGGAGCAAACAGG